GACGAAGGAUGCACGAGUUAUCCGGAGUUAUAGGGCGUAAAGGGUACGUGGGCGGCUUGUCAAGGCCUGGGUUAAAUCCCGCAGCUUAACUGCAGAUCGGCCUUGGAAACUGGCUUGCUGGAGUGUGGUAGGGGUAGCGGGAAUUCCUGGUGUAGCGGUGAAAUGCGUAGAGAUCAGGAGGAACACCUGUGGCGAAGGCGCGCUACUUGACCAUGACUGACGCUGAGGUACGAAAGCUAGGGGAGCAAAAGGG
Molecule: ribosomal RNA, 253 nt
Filed under: uncultured bacterium
Lineage: Bacteria
Description: partial 16S ribosomal RNA
Rfam family: Bacterial small subunit ribosomal RNA
Source: RNAcentral